RNAcentral lists this ribosomal RNA (496 nucleotides) under uncultured bacterium. Its description in RNAcentral is "partial 16S ribosomal RNA". It matches the Rfam family "Bacterial small subunit ribosomal RNA", at positions 30 to 523 of the family's 1533-position model. The record is from RNAcentral.
AUUGAACGCUGGCGGAAUGCUUUACACAUGCAAGUCGAACGGUAGAGGGGGCAACCCCUCGAGAGUGGCGAACGGGUGAGUAAUAUAUCGGAACGUGCCCAGUCGUGGGGGAUAACGUAGCGAAAGUUACGCUAAUACCGCAUACGAUCUAAGGAUGAAAGCGGGGGAUCGCAAGACCUCGCGCGAUUGGAGCGGCCGAUAUCAGAUUAGGUAGUUGGUGGGGUAAAGGCUCACCAAGCCAACGAUCUGUAGCUGGGAUGAGAGGACGAACCACCAAGCUGGAACUCUGAGACGGUGCAGACUCCGACGGGAGGCAGCAGUGUGGAAUUUUGGACAAUGGACAGAAGUCUGAUGCAGCCAUUCCGCGUGCAGGAUGCAGUCCCGCGGGUUGUAAACUGCUUUUGUGCGGAACGAAAAGGUCUCUCUUAAUCCGUGGGACUCAUGGCGGUACCGUAAGAAUAAGCAACGGCUACCUACGUGCCAGCCGCCGCAGUAA